GCCUGUUUAUCAAAAACAUAGCCUUAAGUUUUAUUUAAGGUGAAGCCUGCCCAGUGCUUGAUCGUUAACGGCCGCAGUACCUUGACUGUGCUAAGGUAGCAUAAUCAGUUGGCUUUUAAAUGGAGUCGGGAAUGAAUGGACCAAUUUAGUAAAGCUGUCUCCCACACAUUAAAUUUAACUUACUUAUUAAGUGAAAAUUCUUAAAUCAAGAAAAAAGACGAGAAGACCCUAGGAGUUUUAAUUAAAGCCUAACUAUUUAGGUUACGUUUUUGUUGGGGCGACAAAGGAGCAAAAUAAACCUCCUGUAAUGAAUUAGCCGACAGUGUAUGAAAAACUAAACUACCCUAGGGAUAACAGCGUAAUUCUUUUUUGAGUUUGCGACCUCGAUGUUGGACUAGGAAUUUGGCGGGCUAGCCGCCCGUUAUAAUUGUUCUGUUCGAACUAUUUUUCCUACGUGAUCU
This 461-nucleotide ribosomal RNA is filed under the name Hermaea cruciata. Its description in RNAcentral is "partial 16S ribosomal RNA". It matches the Rfam family "Bacterial large subunit ribosomal RNA", at positions 1798 to 2606 of the family's 2925-position model. Lineage: Eukaryota; Metazoa; Mollusca; Gastropoda; Hermaeidae. The record is from RNAcentral.